Molecule: ribosomal RNA, 473 nt
Filed under: uncultured bacterium
Lineage: Bacteria
Description: bacterial SSU rRNA
Rfam family: Bacterial small subunit ribosomal RNA
Source: RNAcentral
CGCUAUCACUCCUACGGGAGCAGCAGUAGGGAAUCUUCCACAAUGGGCGAAAGCCUGAUGGAGCAACGCCGCGUGGGUGAAGAAGGUCUUCGGAUCGUAAAACCCUGUUGUUAGAGAAGAAAGUGCGUGAGAGUAACUGUUCACGUUUCGACGGUAUCUAACCAGAAAGCCACGGCUAACUACGUGCCAGCAGCCGCGGUAAUACGUAGGUGGCAAGCGUUAUCCGGAUUUAUUGGGCGUAAAGGGAACGCAGGCGGUCUUUUAAGUCUGAUGUGAAAGCCUUCGGCUUAACCGGAGUAGUGCAUUGGAAACUGGGAGACUUGAGUGCAGAAGAGGAGAGUGGAACUCCAUGUGUAGCGGUGAAAAUGCGUAGAUAUAUGGAAGAACACCAGUGGCGAAAGCGGCUCUCUGGUCUGUAACUGACGCUGAGGUUCGAAAGCGUGGGUAGCAAACAGGAUUAGAUACCCUGGUAG